This 20-nucleotide microRNA is filed under the name Nematostella vectensis (starlet sea anemone). RNAcentral describes it as "nve-miR-2032b-3p". Lineage: Eukaryota; Metazoa; Cnidaria; Anthozoa; Actiniaria; Edwardsiidae. The record is from miRBase by way of RNAcentral.
AGGUAACUGUUGCAGCAUCC